Non-coding RNA from Acanthosepion pharaonis, 95 nucleotides. Lineage: Eukaryota; Metazoa; Mollusca; Cephalopoda; Sepiida; Sepiidae. The record is from the annotation of a GenBank genome assembly.
UUACAGUCAUAUCACGUUGGAAUACCGGUCCCCAUGCGAUCACCGAAGUUAAGCAACGUCGAGCCUGGUCUGUACAUAAAUGGGUGAUCGCUUGG